GCUUGACUCCAGCUUCCUUCUUCACAGGGUUCCAUUUUGCAGACAGAGAGACGGGGCACAGAGAAAGAAAGGAGCCGGAGCAAGGCUAGGGUCACAGAAAAGCCCAUUCAGAGCCUGGGGCUUCUUCUCACAGGCCUCUGUAUUCCACAAACUGAAGGGACACGCUUUGAUGCUACCUGUCUCCAGACAGCUUGACUCUACCUUUGAGCCUUGAGCAUAGCACGCUGAGCCCCAAGGACCUUCUCCGUACAGCAGAAGGUGUGAUUGUGAACACGUGGAAUUGCCAACAAUUUUCCUCCUCCAUACUCAAGAGUGUGAACCUGGCCCCACAGAGGCUGCCCAUCCAGCUGGCUCCCC
Molecule: long non-coding RNA, 357 nt
Organism: Mus musculus (house mouse)
Lineage: Eukaryota; Metazoa; Chordata; Mammalia; Rodentia; Muridae
Product: predicted gene, 34264
Exons: 3
Source: RefSeq, a predicted model, not a curated record